UCGGGGGAGGAUUUUAGGAUCUUUGCUUGCCUAGAUUUUCAAUCAUCUGCUUCUAUGGUUGGUUAUCUGAACCCUGUCAUUAUAUUAUAGUAAAUGCAAAUGCAUGAUCUUUGAUUUGUUGUUAUCAUUGCAUAUUGAGCUUAGUUGAAUGUGUAUUGAAAAUGUAUGCGCAUAUCUUGUUUUAUUUUGUGCUAAUUGGCCUUAUA
This 206-nucleotide long non-coding RNA is filed under the name Solanum tuberosum (potato). RNAcentral's name for it is "long non-coding RNA (STUB_LNC010727)". Lineage: Eukaryota; Viridiplantae; Streptophyta; Magnoliopsida; Solanales; Solanaceae. The record is from RNAcentral.